Alligator mississippiensis (American alligator) is the source of this 880-nucleotide long non-coding RNA. RefSeq lists it as uncharacterized. The transcript is spliced from 3 exons. Lineage: Eukaryota; Metazoa; Chordata; Crocodylia; Alligatoridae. The record is from RefSeq and is a predicted model, not a curated record.
UUUCUUCGGGGAAUCACCCAGGAGCAGGCAGCCGCUCAGCUCCCAGCUGUAUCCCUGCCAGCCUCCCAGCCCCCAGCACAGCGGCCGAUGCUGAUGCUUUUUUACGCCCUAUUUAUUUUCACUUGGGGAAGGCCCCUGCAAAGCGAAGACACCUGGGUGCAGGCUAGAGACUCCCCCUGGACCUGAGCUAGCCCCCAGGGAGGCACAAAGGUAUCUCACACACAGCUGAGGUCCCUGCACUUUGUCUCCUGCAAGAAGGAGACUUCAGCUGCGCUGGAGCUGGCGCAAACUUAAAGCAAAGCUACAACCUGGAUACCUGGCCCCGUGCAGCACCCAUGAAGUCAGUAGGGCUUGGCAGUGAGGUCCACCUUGCAGAGCUGGGGGAAGAAGGGAACGAGUGAAGGGGCAUGCAGAAAAGGAGCGAUGGGGCCCGAGCAGCCGAUGAAGGCUCCUGCCUUCACCAGGAAGAUGAAGCCUGGUCCUUCUGGUUGUUUGCAGGGCAGGGGAGCGGACUGGAUGACCCCGGGGGCCCGCACCCAGGCGUAUUUCCUCCAUGCCAUGCAGUUGAUACUCAGCACCAUAAGCAGGAUGGUGCAGUUGAUACUCAGCACCAUAAGCAGGAUCAUCUCCGGGAUGAAAAAUACCUCCGUCUUGGGGAUCCACUCGCUGCCCCCACCCCUCCCCAUGCUAACUCAUCCUAGGGCACGAAGCGUGUGAUGUCACGAGUGCACAGAGAGCAUCCUCCCUGCCAGGAGAGUUAUGGUCUUGUCAGCAGUGUUCAUCACGCUGCAGAUAAUAUCAGACUAGGAACAGCUCGUGCUGCAUGGGAUGUUUCACCAAAUCAGAUCAUUUUAAAAUAAAAGCACUCGGCUCCUUUGAA